RNA transcript from Lagopus muta (rock ptarmigan), 630 nucleotides. It is a transcript of the gene named selenoprotein W, with no coding region annotated. The transcript has 6 exons. Lineage: Eukaryota; Metazoa; Chordata; Aves; Galliformes; Phasianidae. The record is from RefSeq and is a predicted model, not a curated record.
ACACGGCGCGGGGGGGGCGGCGCUUGGGGGCGGCCGCCAUCGAACCGACCGCCGUUGAACCGCCAUUAAAUCCGCCGUUAAAGCCGCCGUUGCCACCAGCGGUGCCGCCGCCAUGCCGCUCCGUGUCACCGUGCUCUACUGCGGAGCCUGAGGCUACAAACCCAAGUACGAACGGCUGCGGGCCGAGCUGGAGAAGCGCUUCCCCGGAGCGCUGGAGAUGCGAGGCCAGGGCACGAAGGAGGUGACGGGAUGGUUCGAGGUGACGGUGGGCGGCCGCCUGGUGCACUCCAAGAAGAACGGCGACGGCUUCGUGGACACAGACGCCAAACUGCAGCGCCUUGUGGCCGCCAUCCAAGCCGCCCUGCCGUAGGCCCCACAUCGCCCCACAUCCAAUGGGGCCGUGGGGGCCCACGCUGACCCCCCAGCACGGCCUGGCUCUGCCGGCACAGCGCUCCAUGAUGGGAGCAGCCAAAAAGCCCCCGGGCACAGGGCUGCUUCCAGAAACCCGCGCACGGCAUCGGAGCCAGAGCUCCUGUUCCAACCUGCUGUGGGUCUGCUUUACGUCGUCGACGCUUCACUCCAUGUCAUCCAGGUUUCAUUUGGCACCACCCAGGUUUGGCACACGCUUUA